CCCUUAGAUGUUCUGGGCGGCCCGCGCACUACAUUGGCACUGGCAACAAGAUCCUAGAUCUGAUAUUUCGGGGUAUUCUACCAACUGGUGUCGUGACUUGGGAUUAACCCCUGCAAUUAUUGGUUAUGAACGAGGAAUUCCUUGUAAUCACGGUUUAUCAACCCGUGUUGAAUGCGUCCCUGCCCUUUGUACACACCGCCCGUCGCUCCUACCGAUGAAUCGUCCGGUGAAGUUCAUGGAGUCGCGGCUGCUCCAGCUGUUUUCGAAGUGAAAUGGACCUCAUGAUUUAGAGGAAGGAGAAGUCGUAACA
Molecule: ribosomal RNA, 310 nt
Filed under: uncultured eukaryote
Lineage: Eukaryota
Description: partial 18S ribosomal RNA
Rfam family: Eukaryotic small subunit ribosomal RNA
Source: RNAcentral